CAGGGAGACAAACCUGAUUGUGAUGUCUGAGUGUUUUUAAUCUCAGGCCAUGAUCCUGUCAUCUCUAGGUCGAUCGGUACCUCAGGGUUGAUCCAUAGAAGACUUGAGUGAUCAAGGAUUGCUGUGGGAUGAACUUUCAGUUUCUAAACGUUGUCUAGGUCACCCCAUGCGGCUGACUUCCUGGGCCAUUAGCUUAGGUGGUUAGAGCGCACCCCUGAUAAGGGUGAGGUCCCUGGUUCAAGUCCAGGAUGGCCCAUUCAUGUGCGAUGCAAGCGAGGGCUUGUGUUGUCACGUCGAGAUUAUUGGGGGUUUAGCUCAGUUGGUAGAGCGCCUGCUUUGCAAGCAGGAUGUCAGCGGUUCGAGUCCGCUAACCUCCACUGACCAUCCCUGACUAGGAAGCAGAACGAAGGGUGAACUUGAUUGGUUGACGCUGAGAGAUUUCAGCCUCAGCUCAUUCCAUCACUGACGCCGUCUUUGAAGACGGAGUCAAGAGAUCGGUUGUGCUGAUGCUGGAUUCAGCAAGUGGGCCGCGAGAGCGGCUUGUUUGCAUGAGAUUCAGCAGAACCUUGACAACUGCAAAGGUGAGUCUGGAAAGACAAAGCAUCUCAUAGAUGAGAUCUGAUCUGGUUUGAGCUUGCACAAGCUGGAUAGGAUCGAGAUUCUAUUUUUGAGUGUCGAGGCCUUCUAGCGUUCUUCUCUGGUCGCCGAGAUCAGAGGAAUUUGAUCCUGGUUUCAAACUGAAGCAGCAAUGUUUCAAGUGAAGCUUGAGAGAAUAGGCCUCAACAGCCUGAAGCGUUAGGAGGAUUAAUU
This 810-nucleotide transfer RNA is filed under the name uncultured Synechococcus sp. RNAcentral describes it as "16S-23S ribosomal RNA intergenic spacer". The stretch from base 305 to 377 matches the Rfam family "tRNA". The record is from RNAcentral. Lineage: Bacteria; Bacillati; Cyanobacteriota; Cyanophyceae; Synechococcales; Synechococcaceae.